ACGGGGUGCAGCAGGCGCGAAAACUUUGCAACGAGCGAAAGCACGACAAGGUUAAUCCGAGUGGUUUCUGCUAAAGAAACCUUUUGUCAGUCCUAGAAACACUAACGAAUAAGGGGUGGGCAAGUUCUGGUGUCAGCCGCCGCGGUAAAACCAGCACCUCAAGUGGUCAGGAUGAUUAUUGGGCCUAAAGCAUCCGUAGCUCGUUUUGUAAGUUUUCGGUUAAAUCCAUGCGCUUAACGUAUGGGCUGCCGGGAAUACUGCAUAACUAGGAAGUGGGAGAGGAAGACGGUACUCGGUAGGAAGGGGUAAAAUCCUUUGAUCUAUUGAUGACCACCUGUGGCGAAGGCGGUCUACCAGAACACGUUCGACGGUGAGGGAUGAAAGCUGGGGGAGCAAACCGGAUUAGAUACCCGGGUAGUCCCAGCUGUAAACUAUGCAAACUCAGUGAUGCAUUGGCUUGUGGCCAAUGCAGUGCUGCAGGGAAGCCGUUAAGUUUGCCGCCUGGGAAGUACGUACGCAAGUAUGAAACUUAAAGGAAUUGGCGGGGGAGCAC
This 553-nucleotide ribosomal RNA is filed under the name uncultured archaeon. RNAcentral describes it as "bacterial SSU rRNA". It matches the Rfam family "Archaeal small subunit ribosomal RNA", at positions 325 to 879 of the family's 1478-position model. The record is from RNAcentral.